RNAcentral lists this ribosomal RNA (464 nucleotides) under Vreelandella stevensii. RNAcentral describes it as "partial 16S ribosomal RNA". It matches the Rfam family "Bacterial small subunit ribosomal RNA", at positions 338 to 795 of the family's 1533-position model. The record is from RNAcentral. Lineage: Bacteria; Pseudomonadati; Pseudomonadota; Gammaproteobacteria; Oceanospirillales; Halomonadaceae.
CCUAGGGCGGCAGCAGUGGGGAAUAUUGGACAAUGGGCGAAAGCCUGAUCCAGCCAUGCCGCGUGUGUGAAGAAGGCCUUCGGGUUGUAAAGCACUUUCAGUGGGGAAGAAAGCCUUGGGGCUAAUACCCUCGAGGAAGGACAUCACCCACAGAAGAAGCACCGGCUAACUCCGUGCCAGCAGCCGCGGUAAUACGGAGGGUGCGAGCGUUAAUCGGAAUUACUGGGCGUAAAGCGCGCGUAGGCGGUCUGAUAAGCCGGUUGUGAAAGCCCCGGGCUCAACCUGGGAACGGCAUCCGGAACUGUCAGGCUAGAGUGCAGGAGAGGAAGGUAGAAUUCCCGGUGUAGCGGUGAAAUGCGUAGAGAUCGGGAGGAAUACCAGUGGCAAAGGCGGCCUUCUGGACUGACACUGACGCUGAGGUGCGAAAGCGUGGGUAGCAAACAGGAUUAGAUACCCCUGUAGUC